CGGAACGGGUAGGAGGUAACGCGUGAGGAACCUGCCUCAGAAGGGGGGACAACAGUUGGAAACGACUGCUAAUACCGCAUAAGCCCACGGCUCGGCAUCGAGCAGAGGGAAAAGGAGCAAUCCGCUUUGAGAUGGCCUCGCGUCCGAUUAGCUAGUUGGUGAGGUAACGGCCCACCAAGGCGACGAUCGGUAGCCGGACUGGGAGGUUGAACGGCCACAUUGGGACUGAGACACGGCCCAG
RNAcentral lists this ribosomal RNA (241 nucleotides) under uncultured bacterium. RNAcentral's name for it is "partial 16S ribosomal RNA". It matches the Rfam family "Bacterial small subunit ribosomal RNA", at positions 100 to 334 of the family's 1533-position model. The record is from RNAcentral.